UACGGAGGAUGCGAGCGUUAUCCGGAUUUAUUGGGUUUAAAGGGUGCGUAGGCGGACUGUCAAGUCAGCGGUAAAAUUGAGAGGCUCAACCUCUUCCCGCCGUUGAAACUGGUGGUCUUGACUGGAUGAGAAGUACGCGGAAUGCGUGGUGUAGCGGUGAAAUGCAUAGAUAUCACGCAGAACUCCGAUUGCGAAGGCAGCGUACCGGCAUCCAACUGACGCUGAGGCACGAAAGCGUGGGGAUCAAACAGG
This 252-nucleotide ribosomal RNA is filed under the name uncultured bacterium. Its description in RNAcentral is "partial 16S ribosomal RNA". It matches the Rfam family "Bacterial small subunit ribosomal RNA", at positions 524 to 776 of the family's 1533-position model. The record is from RNAcentral.